UAUUAUUUUGCUUUUGGUAUCAUCUUUUAAAAUUUUUUCGAAUUUAAAUUCUUUAAGCAGUUGUAUUUUCGCGGCAGAACUUUCUUCCAUUUUAAAUUUGUCUCUUCUUGGGUAUAAAAUAUUUAAACGUCCGUUAUGUCUUACCGAUAGAAGUAAAAAAAUCCAAAAAGAUUGAGAGGUACAACAGCUUUUGAGAUGCUGAGACUAAAGAGCUUGUUGCAAGGCUUUAAUAGGUUGAUUCUACUACAUAAU
Non-coding RNA from Schizosaccharomyces pombe (fission yeast), 252 nucleotides. The record is from the annotation of a GenBank genome assembly. NCBI's taxonomy places the organism in Eukaryota, Fungi, Ascomycota, Schizosaccharomycetes, Schizosaccharomycetales, Schizosaccharomycetaceae.